ACCGCAUCAAUUCACUGUCUAGACAGUACACUGUGAUGUUUGUAAUUUGUGACAUGACGAUGGCUGCCCUGAAACGCCAGUAAUUUGUUUUCGUCAAAGUGCUGUAGGUUGCCAUACUAGUAAGUCCCGGCAGUAGAUACGAAAGUUAUUGAUGCGUUUUGGAAAUCAGUUUGUUAGUGUUUAUAUGUGAGUAUUGUGAAACACCGAUACUGUGGAACAUUUCGUCCUCGAAAUUUAUAAUGAAAGUCGCUGAUUGUGUACGGCGUGAAGAUUGGAUGGGAUAUGAUCAACAGAAACAGUCUCCAGGCUGCCUGUGAAGCUGCAGCCCGUGUAAACGCUGUUCUAUUUGCGAAAGGGAAACUGAAACAAGCGGCGCCACAGUUGCCUAAGGUUGGAAACACUGUACGCACAACUGCUGAUCUCUUCACUUCUGAGUAUGAGAUAAAUGAUGUUCCUGUGGCAGCCCGAAAUCUGCUAACUAAGGGUCUCAUACAAGAAGAAAUAAACUUAUCUUCAGGUGCUGCAGUUUCCACACGCGGGAGGUAUUUGACUAUAGAAGAAAGACAAAGAAAUCCAGGCUUACGUCCACUGUACCUCCACGUCCAGGCUUCUUCAAAAGAAGCUGUUGACUUGGCUAUACAGAAGAUUGAGGAGCUAAUACAGCUCCACGUCCAAGGAAUGGAACAGUUACCACAUCAGGUUGGGAGGCCUAGCAAAUUCAAAAUGGGACCUCCACAACAGGGAAUGCCCCCACCUCUUAUGAGUUUACAUACAGCCAUACCUGGUGUGGAGAAGGUUCUGGUUGGACUAGAACAUGCCCCUCCAGCAUUUGAUUUACGCAACAGGCUUAUUGGUCAGAAUGGAACCAAUUUACUUUACAUACGUAAUGAAACAGGUGCCAUGGUGACACUCAGAGGUAAAGGAUCGGGUUUCAUUGAGCCAAACACUGGAACGGAAUCAAUGGAACCUCUUCAUUUGUGUGUGGAGCAUCCAAAAUACGAUAUUCUCCAAGCAGCUCGUCAGCUGGCGCAUAACCUUAUCGAAACAAUGCAGCAAGAGUAUGCUCAGUUUCAGCAACAACAGCAGCAGCAACAACAGCAGCAGCAGCAACAACAGAUGGUGAUGCAGCAUGCAACACAGAUGCAACAGAACAUGAAUAUGGGUGGCAUUGGACAACCAGGGGUUGUAACAGUACAACAAGACUUACCACAACAAGCUGGUAUCAUAGGAACUUCAGUGGCUAUGCCAGUUGUAUCAUCCGUCCCUACUGUUUUUACUGGGCAGCAAGUUCAGCAAGCAGUUGGACAGUUGAGUGGUCCACCUCCUCCAAUAAUGGGUGUGCCACCACCACACUUAAACCAGCAGAUGAUUCAGUCACAGCAACAGCAGCAUAUGUUGUCACAACAGCAGCAACCUCCACCAACAUCACAACCACAGCAGCAACAACCACAUCCACAACCUCAUUUACCACCAGUUCAAGUGCAACUUCCUCCACCUGGCCUACAUAUUCCGACACAUCAAGGUCCACUUGUCCCGCCCCAACAGCAUACCACGCAGCAGCAGCAGCAGCAGCAACAUCUACAGGCCAUUCUUCAACAGCAUCAUCAGAUGCAGCAGCAGCAGCAGCAUCAUCAGCAGCUCCAGCAGCCACCUCUCCAGGACCAGCAGGAAGCAGCACUCCAGCAUGUGCCACCUCAGCAGAUGUCCAUUCAUCUGCAGCAGCCGGUUUGUAACUCUCUUCAACCUGUUAUGCAGGCCGUGCUGCAACAGCAGCUCCAUCAUCAACAGCAGCAGCAGCAGCAACAGCAACAACACCAACAACAGCAGCAACAGCAGCAGCAGCAACAACCAUCACAGCAGCAUCAGUUGUUGCAGCAGCCCCCGCAGGUUCUGCUUCAGCCUCCACCAGGCCAACCCCAAGGGCUUGUGGCACAGAAUGGACAAGUUCUGAUGCUGCCCCAACAGCAACAUCUGCAAGGUCCUCACACAAUUCUACCGCCAACCGCAGUCCCGCCACCAGGACAGCAGCAGUUACCUCCUCCACAGUUUGGCAGCACAGUACUUGGUUCUCCAAGUCACAUGUAUCUCCCGCAGCAGGCUCAGCCGCAACAGCCACCCCUGCACCAAGGCCCCCAAAUGCAUCAACAACCCCCUGCUCCUGUCCCAGCUCCUGGACCUGAGCCCCCACAGCCAGUCCAACAUCCACAACAGCAGCAGCAACAGCAAUCACAACAGCAGCAACAGCAGCCUCAACAGCAACAGCAACCACCUCCUCAGCAUCAGCCUGCAUCACAAGGAUACCAACCACAGCAUGCCAUGGCUACAGUAUCAUAUCCUUACCAGUAUGUCCAGAAUUCUGGACCUCCCGCCAUGACAUAUCCAACUUUUAGCCGUCUGGACCAGCAGCAGCCUCCACAGCCGUUGCAGCAGCCUCAAGGUCAUGUCAUGCCAAUUCAGAAUCAGGGUCCACCAAUGCAGGGACAGUUGCCACCAAUGCAAGGCCAAACACUAUCAAUGCAAGGACAAACUCAGGCAUUGCAGAUGCAGAAUCAUAUGGCCCCUCUGCAAGGUCAUGUGCCCCCUGUUCAAAACCAAGGUCCACCACUUCAGAAUCAGGUUCUACCUGUACAAAGCCAAUGUCCUCCUGCACAAAACCAAGCACCUCCAGUUCAGAGUCAUGGAGGGAUGCAGUUGCAUAGCCAGGGGGCACUACAAAUUCCAAAUCAAAGUACUGUAACACUCCAGAAUCAAGGUGGUCCCCCUAAUCAGGUGACAGCAGUGCAAGGGCAGGGCCCUUUGCCAGUGCAGCAAGGUGCUGGUGUACCUCCUGUGCAAUGUCAAAAUCCCCAAUUGCAAGGCCAAGUAUCACUGCAAGGACAAGGCAGUUUGCAGAUGCAGAAUCAGAUGCAACAGCCACCUCAGGCAUUGCCUUGGCAGACACCAACCCAAGCUCAAUCCCAGCAGCACCAAGGAACGGUCACCUACCAGCAGCAACAUCACAUUCAGACACAACAAUCAGUGAAAACUGGGACCAAAGGAGGCCAGAAGAGAAGAUUCACAGAAGAAAGAGAGGAUUCAGGUGAUAACUUCCAGGGCCGUGUUAAUGUUGGCACUGUGACUGGUGGAAACAUACAGCAGUCACAACAGCAGCAACAGCAACAGCAGCAACAACAACAGUCAUCAGCCCAGCAGCAGCAACAAGCUGCACGACAGGGAAUGGGGACAGCACCUACAACAAUAUUUGUAAACACUGUAAGAGUGAAAGCAUCUCAAGAUGGAGACACAGGAAUGGAUGAAAUGAUGCAACGCCAGCAACAGCCUGAACAGCAGCAGCAGCCACAGCAGCAGCAGCAGCAACAACCACCACAGCAGCAACAACCGCAACAGCAGCAGCAACAACAGCAGCAGCAGCAGUCACAGUCACAGCAACAGCAGCAUCAACAGUCGCAGCCACAGAUACUCACAUCAAGUGAUAAACGGCAAGCAGAUCAGGAAACAACUCCAAACAAGAAGGUGAAAGGAGAAGGUUAUGAAGAGGACCAAGAAACAUCUGAGGCAAGUGCAGAACAUAAUACUGCUUCCAGUGGUAACAACAACAGCAACAACAAUGCUGUUACCAGUAGCUCCACAAGUGGCGGCAAUAGUAGUAGCAGCAGUAGUAGUACUACUAGUGCUAAUAAUAGUACUACUAUUCCAGUUCAGCUGACCUCCACUUCAGCUACCAGUCGUACGGAAUAUCACAGAAGAAGUGGAGGCAGUGAUCGUACAGAACAGAGAGACCGCACAGACAGAAGCACUGGGAAUAGUGGUGCAGAAAGACCUUCAUUCAACCAUUAUUCUUCCAAGCCUCAGAUGUAUAAUGCUAGCUUGCCGUUUCAUGUGCAUGGAAUCAACAUGUACACUUCUCCCCCUCCUCCACCCCAGCCAUCACAACCUCAGCAAACACCUCCACCACCCCCACCACCACCUCCCAACCCAUAUGGACCAUAUUAUAGCCCGCAGAGUCAGUACCAGUAUGCUCCAUAUUGGAUGAUGCCCCAGUAACACAAAUAUUUCCCGGCUGUCAGGCACUCUUCAUAUAUUGCACAGUGAUAAUACAUGUAUGUUUGUAAUGCUAUGAGAUUUAAAACCUUGUGACACUGCCAUCCAAUUGGAUGCUUAUAAUGAAACAAGUAGACAGCGUUAUGUUAUGGACACCACAAGAAUUAAAGCAGUGUGUAAGUGUUUGUGUUAUCCCACAGUUACUUCAAGUGUGUGUUUCCUGUACCUCUUUGCUGUUUGAUAUCACUUUCCCCACACCCUUAAACUACCGUGAUAUUUGUAUAGACACCAAUUAUCGAACUAUCAUAUGAUGACAAUUGCAGCAUUAUGAUAUUUGAAUUUAUAUAAUUUUUAUCUUUUUUUUUUUU
This 4409-nucleotide unclassified non-coding RNA is filed under the name Schistocerca americana (American grasshopper). RNAcentral's name for it is "chromatin modification-related protein eaf-1-like, transcript variant X6". Lineage: Eukaryota; Metazoa; Arthropoda; Insecta; Orthoptera; Acrididae. The record is from RNAcentral.